Anolis sagrei ordinatus is the source of this 310-nucleotide non-coding RNA. The record is from RefSeq and is a predicted model, not a curated record. Lineage: Eukaryota; Metazoa; Chordata; Lepidosauria; Squamata; Anolidae.
UGGAUGAAUGUGAGAAUAGUGUCACCCAUAGAAACAGAGAAACCUGUGCUUGCUGCGUCUUCUGGUGAAAGUGAAAGGAUCCUUUCUCCCAUAAAGAGGAGCUUCAAAAGACAUGGUAGAAGGGAACAAAGAACAUAGGUGAAAUGACAAUGGUAGCAAAGAGGAAGUACAACUCAACCAGGAAGCUCCAGACAGCGGUAGUCAGAUGCCCUCCAAUGGUGUGAAUCCUCAUAGAUGUUCACUGAAUCCUACUUCUCAUUACAACAUCAAAGUUUUGGACUCCAGUUCAGGCCCAUUUGGUUGGCUUUAA